Molecule: non-coding RNA, 215 nt
Organism: Dermacentor andersoni
Lineage: Eukaryota; Metazoa; Arthropoda; Arachnida; Ixodida; Ixodidae
Source: RefSeq, a predicted model, not a curated record
CUCGGCGCCCCUCGGGACGGCCUCCACCUGCGUACACGCCUCCACCUCCCUCGGCGAGACCACUACCACCUCCUCCUUCGCCGAGACCACCUCCAGGACCACCUCCUGUUACCCGACCUCCGCCACCUCCUCCCCCACGGAGACCUCCUCCUGUGGCAAGACCACCACCUCCUGGUCCUCCGUAUCAACCUCCACCGCCUGUUCCUCGACCACCG